AAGAGGUGGUAGAAAAGCAAAGAUGGGGGAUGAGAAUAUAAAAGCACUGGGCUCUUAGGAGUGCAAGGAAGGAUGGUGUAAAAAUGAAAUGGAAUGGUGUGGAUAAAUAACAUAUAUUGGGAUAGAAAGAUAAAAACAAGGUAUAAAAGGGAGAUUGAAAAUGUCAAAAAUAGAUUGAGCUGAGCCUAAUAAAAACAAAUAAUAAAAUGAAAAUGAAAAUUUUAUUCUUUUUAAAAGAAAAUGAAAAUUUUUAUUUUUAAAAGAAAAUGAAAAUUUUCAAAGAAACUUUUGUUUUAUUCUUUUUAUUAAAAC
Molecule: long non-coding RNA, 312 nt
Filed under: Vigna radiata
Lineage: Eukaryota; Viridiplantae; Streptophyta; Magnoliopsida; Fabales; Fabaceae
Description: long non-coding RNA (VRAD_LNC018231)
Source: RNAcentral